AAAGGAAUUGACGGGGGCCCGCACAAGCAGUGGAGUAUGUGGUUUAAUUCGACGCAACGCGAAGAACCUUACCAAGGCUUGACAUAUACAGGAAUAACUAAGAAAUUAGUUAGCUCUUCGGAGUCUGUAUACAGGUGGUGCAUGGUUGUCGUCAGCUCGUGUCGUGAGAUGUUGGGUUAAGUCCCGCAACGAGCGCAACCCCUAAUAUUAGUUGCCAGCGAGUAAUGUCGGGAACUCUAAUAUGACUGCCGGUGAUAAAUCGGAGGAAGGUGGGGACGACGUCAAAUCAUCAUGCCCUUUAUGUCUUGGGCUACACACGUACUACAAUGGCUAUAACAAAGAGAAGCGAGACAGUGAUGUGGAGCAAAACUCAAAAAAAUAGUCUCAGUUCGGAUUGAAGGCUGAAAUUCGCCUUCAUGAAGCUGGAAUUGCUAGUAAUGGCAGGUCAGCAUACUGCCGUGAAUACGUUCCCGGGCCUUGUACACACCGCCCGU
Molecule: ribosomal RNA, 494 nt
Filed under: uncultured bacterium
Lineage: Bacteria
Description: bacterial SSU rRNA
Rfam family: Bacterial small subunit ribosomal RNA
Source: RNAcentral